This 690-nucleotide ribosomal RNA is filed under the name uncultured Acidobacteriota bacterium. RNAcentral's name for it is "bacterial SSU rRNA". It matches the Rfam family "Bacterial small subunit ribosomal RNA", at positions 15 to 737 of the family's 1533-position model. Lineage: Bacteria; Pseudomonadati; Acidobacteriota. The record is from RNAcentral.
GAUCCUGGCUCAGAAUCAACGCUGGCGGCGCGCUUAACACAUGCAAGUCGAACGAGAAAGGGGAGCAAUCCCUGAGUACAGUGGCGUACGGGUGAGUAACACGUGGGUAAUCUACCUCUGGGUGGGGAAUAACUCUGGGAAACCGGAGCUAAUACCGCAUAAGCUCGAAAGAGGAAAGGCGAAAGUUGCCGGGAGAGGAGCCCGCGGCCGAUUAGCUAGUUGGUAGGGUAAGAGCCUACCAAGGCAGAGAUCGGUAGCCGGCCUGAGAGGGCACACGGCCACACUGGCACUGAAACACGGGCCAGACUCCUACGGGAGGCAGCAGUGGGGAAUCUUGCACAAUGGGGGAAACCCUGAUGCAGCGACGCCGCGUGAGCGAUGAAGCCCUUCGGGGUGUAAAGCUCUUUCGGCCGGAACGAUGAUGACGGUACCGGCAGAAGAAGCUGCGGCUAACUACGUGCCAGCAGCCGCGGUAAUACGUAGGCAGCGAGCGUUGUUCGGAGUUACUGGGCGUAAAGCGUGCGUAGGCGGUUUUCUAAGUCUGGUGUGAAAUCUCCCGGCUCAACUGGGAGGGUGCGCUAGAAACUGGGAGGCUGGAGUACGGGAGAGGUAGGCGGAAUUCCUGGUGUAGCGGUGAAAUGCGUAGAUAUCAGGAGGAACACCGGUGGUGUAGACGGCCUGCUGGACCGU